AGUGAACGCUGGCGGUAGGCCUAACACAUGCAAGUCGAACGGCAGCACAGUAAGAGCUUGCUCUUACGGGAGGCGAGUGGCGGACGGGUGAGGAAUACAUCGGAAUCUACUUUUUAGUGGGGGCUAACGUAGGGAAACUUACGCUAAUACAGCAUACGACCUACGGGUGAAAGCAGGGGAUCUUCGGACCUUGCGCGAUUGAAUGAGCCGAUGUCGGAUUAGCUAGUUGGCGGGGUAAAGGCCCACCAAGGCGACGAUCCGUAGCUGGUCUGAGAGGAUGAUCAGCCACACGGGAACUGAGACACGUUCCAGACUCUGACGGGAGGCAGCAGUCGAGAAUAUUGGACGAGGGGCGCAUGCCUGAUCCAGCCAUACCGCGUAGGUGAAGAAGGCCUUCGGGUUGUAAAGCCCUUUUGUUGUUAAAGAAAAGCAGCAGUUUAAUACCCCGCGGUUCUGACGGUACCCAAAGAAGAAGCACCGGCUAACUUCGUG
Molecule: ribosomal RNA, 492 nt
Filed under: uncultured bacterium
Lineage: Bacteria
Description: partial 16S ribosomal RNA
Rfam family: Bacterial small subunit ribosomal RNA
Source: RNAcentral